RNAcentral lists this ribosomal RNA (814 nucleotides) under uncultured marine euryarchaeote. Its description in RNAcentral is "bacterial SSU rRNA". It matches the Rfam family "Archaeal small subunit ribosomal RNA", at positions 78 to 907 of the family's 1478-position model. Lineage: Archaea; Methanobacteriati; Methanobacteriota. The record is from RNAcentral.
UCGGCAUACUGCUCAGUAACACGUGGAUAACCUGCCCUAUCGUCUGGAAUAACCUCGGGAAACUGAGAAUAAGGCCGGAUAGUUCACAAUGCCUGGAACGGUUUGUGAAUCAAGGUAGGAUGGGUCUGCGGCGUAUCAGGUUGUAGGGGGUGUAAAGGACCCCCUAGCCUUCGACGCGUACGGGUGUUGGGAGACAUAGCCCGGAGAUGGAUUCUGAGACACGAAUCCAGACCCUACGGGGUGCAGCAGGCGCGAAAACUUCACACUGCAGGAAACUGUGAUGAGGGAACUCCUAGUGCAUGCACUAUGUGUAUGUAGAUCCUACUCUUAACAAGUAGAGGGAAAGGGCUGGGAAAGACCGGUGCCAGCCGCCGCGGUAAUACCGGCAGCUCAAGUGGUCGUCGCUUUUAUUGGGCCUAAAACGUCCGUAGCCUGUUUGGUAAAUCUGUGGGUAAAUCAAUCCGCUCAACGGAUUGAAUUCUGCAGAGACUGCCAGACUAGGGACCGGGAGAGGUGUGGGGUACUCGAGGGGUAGGGGUAAAAUCCUGUCAUCCUUCGAGGACCACCAGUUGCGAAGGCGCCACACUGGAACGGAUCCGACGGUCAGGGACGAAGCCUAGGGGCACGAACCGGAUUAGAUACCCGGGUAGUCCUAGGUGUAAACGCUGUGAACUUGGUGUCGGGGGUCCGCAAGGGGUCCCCGGUGCCGGAGUGAAGAUGUUAAGUUCACUGCCUGGGGAGUACGGUCGCAAGGCUGAAACUUAAAGGAAUUGGCGGGGGAGCACUGCAACCGGGAGGAGCGUGCGGUUUAAUU